GGUGAACGCUGGCGGUAGGCCUAACACAUGCAAGUCGAACGGCAGCACAGUAAGAGCUUGCUCUUACGGGUGGCGAGUGGCGGACGGGUGAGGAAUACAUCGGAAUCUACUUUUUCGUGGGGGAUAACGUAGGGAAACUUACGCUAAUACCGCAUACGACCUACGGGUGAAAGCAGGGGAUCUUCGGACCUUGCGCGAUUGAAUGAGCCGAUGUCGGAUUAGCUAGUUGGCGGGGUAAAGGCCCACCAAGGCGACGAUCCGUAGCUGGUCUGAGAGGAUGAUCAGCCACACUGGAACUGAGACACGGUCCAGACUCCUACGGGAGGCAGCAGUGGGGAAUAUUGGACAAUGGGCGCAAGCCUGAUCCAGCCAUACCGCGUGGGUGAAGAAGGCCUUCGGGUUGUAAAGCCGUUUUGUUGGGAAAGAAAAGCAGCAGGUUAAUACCCCGCUGUUCUGACGGUACCCAAAGAAUAAGCACCGGCUAACUUCGUG
Molecule: ribosomal RNA, 492 nt
Filed under: uncultured bacterium
Lineage: Bacteria
Description: partial 16S ribosomal RNA
Rfam family: Bacterial small subunit ribosomal RNA
Source: RNAcentral